GUUUUGUUCCACUGAUGAAUGUAUCUGGAGAUGAUCUGGAGGCAGCUAUAAAGGAAGACUUUCCAAGUGAGUUGGAUUGGGACAUCUUAAAUGAAAUGGAGCGUUCUGAGGAAGUAGAUAGACUCGAGUCGGAGGAGAUUGAGGAAAGAAUGGAAAAAGACAUUGGUAGGUGGGAUGAUAUAUAUCGUAAUGCUCGAAAAGCUGAAAAGCUCCGGUUUGAAACUAAUGAAAGAGAUGAAGGAGAGCUGGAAAGGAC
Molecule: unclassified non-coding RNA, 256 nt
Filed under: Hevea brasiliensis (rubber tree)
Lineage: Eukaryota; Viridiplantae; Streptophyta; Magnoliopsida; Malpighiales; Euphorbiaceae
Source: RNAcentral